UGCAGUCGAGCGAACAGAGAAGGAGCUUGCUCCUUUGACGUUAGCGGCGGACGGGUGAGUAACACGUGGGCAACCUACCUUAUAGUUUGGGAUAACUCCGGGAAACCGGGGCUAAUACCGAAUAAUCUGUUUCACCUCAUGGUGAAAUAUUGAAAGACGGUUUCGGCUGUCGCUAUAGGAUGGGCCCGCGGCGCAUUAGCUAGUUGGUGAGGUAACGGCUCACCAAGGCGACGAUGCGUAGCCGACCUGAGAGGGUGAUCGGCCACACUGGGACUGAGACACGGCCCAGACUCCUACGGGAGGCAGCAGUAGGGAAUCUUCCACAAUGGGCGAAAGCCUGAUGGAGCAACGCCGCGUGAGUGAAGAAGGAUUUCGGUUCGUAAAACUCUGUUGUAAGGGAAGAACAAGUACAGUAGUAACUGGCUGUACCUUGACGGUACCUUAUUAGAAAGCCACGGCUAACUACGUGCCAGCAGCCGCGGUAAUACGUAGGUGGCAAGCGUUGUCCGGAAUUAUUGGGCGUAAAGCGCGCGCAGGUGGUUUCUUAAGUCUGAUGUGAAAGCCCACGGCUCAACCGUGGAGGGUCAUUGGAAACUGGGAGACUUGAGUGCAGAAGAGGAUAGUGGAAUUCUAAGUGUAGCGGUGAAAUGCGUAGAGAUUUGGAGGAACACCA
RNAcentral lists this ribosomal RNA (673 nucleotides) under Lysinibacillus sphaericus. RNAcentral describes it as "bacterial SSU rRNA". It matches the Rfam family "Bacterial small subunit ribosomal RNA", at positions 56 to 711 of the family's 1533-position model. The record is from RNAcentral. Lineage: Bacteria; Bacillati; Bacillota; Bacilli; Caryophanales; Bacillaceae.